Molecule: ribosomal RNA, 501 nt
Filed under: Pseudomonas sp.
Lineage: Bacteria; Pseudomonadati; Pseudomonadota; Gammaproteobacteria; Pseudomonadales; Pseudomonadaceae
Description: bacterial SSU rRNA
Rfam family: Bacterial small subunit ribosomal RNA
Source: RNAcentral
CAGUCGAGCGGUAGAGAGAAGCUUGCUUCUCUUGAGAGCGGCGGACGGGUGAGUAAUGCCUAGGAAUCUGCCUGGUAGUGGGGGAUAACGUUCGGAAACGGACGCUAAUACCGCAUACGUCCUACGGGAGAAAGCAGGGGACCUUCGGGCCUUGCGCUAUCAGAUGAGCCUAGGUCGGAUUAGCUAGUUGGUGGGGUAAUGGCUCACCAAGGCGACGAUCCGUAACUGGUCUGAGAGGAUGAUCAGUCACACUGGAACUGAGACACGGUCCAGACUCCUACGGGAGGCAGCAGUGGGGAAUAUUGGACAAUGGGCGAAAGCCUGAUCCAGCCAUGCCGCGUGUGUGAAGAAGGUCUUCGGAUUGUAAAGCACUUUAAGUUGGGAGGAAGGGCAGUUACCUAAUACGUGAUUGUUUUGACGUUACCGACAGAAUAAGCACCGGCUAACUCUGUGCCAGCAGCCGCGGUAAUACAGAGGGUGCAAGCGUUAAUCGGAAUUACU